RNAcentral lists this ribosomal RNA (484 nucleotides) under uncultured bacterium. Its description in RNAcentral is "partial 16S ribosomal RNA". It matches the Rfam family "Bacterial small subunit ribosomal RNA", at positions 29 to 507 of the family's 1533-position model. The record is from RNAcentral.
AUUGAACGCUGGCGGCAUGCUUUACACAUGCAAGUCGAACGGCAGCGCGGGCUUCGGCCUGGCGGCGAGUGGCGAACGGGUGAGUAAUACAUCGGGACGUGCCCAGUAGUGGGGGAUAGCCCGGCGAAAGCCGGAUUAAUACCGCAUACGACCUGAGGGUGAAAGCGGGGGAUCUUCGGACCUCGCGCUAUUGGAGCGGCCGAUGGCAGAUUAGCUAGUUGGUGGGGUAAAGGCCUACCAAGGCGACGAUCUGUAGCUGGUCUGAGAGGACGACCAGCCACACUGGGACUGAGACACGGCCCAGACUCCUACGGGAGGCAGCAGUGGGGAAUUUUGGACAAUGGGCGAAAGCCUGAUCCAGCAAUGCCGCGUGUGUGAUGAAGGCCUUCGGGUUGUAAAGCACUUUUGGCGGGAACGAAAAGGACUGUGCCAAUACCACGGUUCGAUGACGGUACCCGCAGAAUAAGCACCGGCUAACUACGUG